AUGUGGGACUUCGCUUUACACCAACAUGCUUUCAUUCACCAAAGACCCAAAAGAAAUUUUGUAUACAAUUGAAACCUUGCAUGUGUAAAAGAGUUAGGUUGAGAGUUGAGAGUCAAACUUACCAAAAAUACGCACUCACUUUUGGAGACACAAGCAUGUUAAACCUGCUUAAAUACAGGGGAACUCACUUAGCAGGCUAACAGAGGGAAGAAAGAAUAAUGUGGGAACUACAAUAAGAAAAGGUCAUUAACCCAGUGUUACCCCUAAUAAUCGAGGUUGUUGGGAGGCUUAGACUGGGUACAAACUUAACCAUUAGCAUAAUUUGCAGAAAGUGACUACCUUCAAACUCAAACCUGUAUUCCCAAACUUGGAGACUGAGCUUUUACCAUUGCAAGCAAACAGUGUAAUGUGACAGAAGCUGAUACAAAAUCGUAGCCACCUAAUCCACUAUCCACCAAAGCCUAUCUUCUCCAACAGGUAAAACAAAAACUCACAAUCCACAUUAUCAUAGGCCUUCUCAGUAUCUAACUUACACAUAAAAUAUAAAUAUAUGUGCUACAUACAUUUCAGAAAACUCAUUCCCAUUCAGUUUAUUUUCUUUUUAAUACUAAAAAGGAAAAAAAUGAAUUUUUUAACCCAAAAAAAAAAAAAAAAAAAAAA
Molecule: non-coding RNA, 660 nt
Organism: Camellia sinensis
Lineage: Eukaryota; Viridiplantae; Streptophyta; Magnoliopsida; Ericales; Theaceae
Source: RefSeq, a predicted model, not a curated record